ACUUUUUAUACAAUUUGAAAGAGAAUUAUGCACAUAGCAACGGCCUGCCCGGGGGGUACACCCCGGGACAACUGGGGGGAAACGAGGGGGAAUUUGGUAUUUUAUCUGUGUGUUCUGCCUGUGAACCCCGGGGAAAUUAGGGAGUGGUCAUUAUUUAUGGGGAGGGGGGUGUUGGGAAAUGGGAAAAAUAAGGAUUGAAAACUUUUUUGACCCCCCCCCCACUCCA
This is a non-coding RNA of Paramuricea clavata, 226 nucleotides long. NCBI's taxonomy places the organism in Eukaryota, Metazoa, Cnidaria, Anthozoa, Malacalcyonacea, Plexauridae. The record is from the annotation of a GenBank genome assembly.